Molecule: ribosomal RNA, 766 nt
Organism: Desulfovibrio sp. An276
Lineage: Bacteria; Pseudomonadati; Thermodesulfobacteriota; Desulfovibrionia; Desulfovibrionales; Desulfovibrionaceae
Rfam family: Bacterial large subunit ribosomal RNA
Source: Rfam
GAAUAAGUUGACAAGAGCAUCAGGUGGAUGCCUUGGCGUCGGAAGGCGAUGAAAGACGUGGUAUGCUGCGAUAAGCCUCGGGGAGGAGCAAAACAUCCUUUGAUCCGGGGAUCUCUGAAUGGGGCAACCCAAUGGAAGUCAUGUUCCAUUACACCAGACUGAAUACAUAGGUCUGUGUGAGCUAACGCAGGGAAGUGAAACAUCUCAGUACCUGCAGGAAGAGAAAUCAAACGAGACUCCCCCAGUAGCGGCGAGCGAACAGGGAUGAGCCCAAACCGGCUGAAUUCGUUCAGCCGGGGUUGUAGGGCCGGCGUUUCCGAUUCAUGAGUAGUUAGAAGAAGAGAGCUGGAAAGCUCCACCACAGAGGGUGACAGUCCCGUAUUUGAAGGCGAAAGUGACGGUGCCGGUACCUGAGUACUGCGAGGCACGUGGAACCUCGUGGGAAUCCGGGAGGACCAUCUUCCAAGGCUAAGUACUCACCGACGACCGAUAGUGCACUAGUACCGUGAGGGAAAGGUGAAAAGAACCUCUUCAAGAGGAGUGAAACAGAAUCUGAAACCUGGUGCUUACAAGCUGUGGGAGCCAUCUUCGGAUGGUGACCAUGUGCCUUUUGCAUAAUGAGUCAGCGAGUUAAUCUGUACAGCGAGGUUAAGCGUUAGCGGAGCCGCAGCGAAAGCGAGUCUGAACAGGGCGAUUUAGUUGUGCGGAUUAGACCCGAAACCGGGUGAUCUAUCCAUGAGCAGGUUGAAGCAAGGGUAAAGCCUUG